AGUUAACAAACGAAGAACCCUUAACCUGACUAAAUAAGUUUAUGCCAACUUUUGUUGGUAGUCAACUUCUUAGAGGGACUGUCAGCAUCAAGCUAACAGAAGUUUGAGGCAAUAACAGGUCUGUUAUGCCCUUAGAUGUCCUGGGCUGCACACGUGCUACACUGAUGAAGUCAAUGAGUUUAUAACCUUGGCUGGAAGGUCUGGGUAAUCUUUUGAAACUUCAUCGUGCUGGGGAUAGAGCAUUGCAAUG
RNAcentral lists this ribosomal RNA (250 nucleotides) under uncultured fungus. RNAcentral's name for it is "partial small subunit ribosomal RNA". It matches the Rfam family "Eukaryotic small subunit ribosomal RNA", at positions 1326 to 1591 of the family's 1831-position model. The record is from RNAcentral. Lineage: Eukaryota; Fungi.